GUAUUUGAUUGCGUUUUAAGGCAACAUGAACAUUCUAUGACACAUUCAGAGUAUAUGAUACAUAAGCCCGAAGGCCUACGGUGGGUUCACAGGUGUGUUGUGGAUUUAAGAGCUCAGGCGUGCACGUGCCUCGAAAGAGGCCAGCAACAACCCUCGCUUAUAAUUCGAUAAUGAUCCUUCCGCAGGUUCACCUACGGAAA
Molecule: unclassified non-coding RNA, 200 nt
Filed under: uncultured fungus
Lineage: Eukaryota; Fungi
Description: sequence contains ITS1
Source: RNAcentral